This is a non-coding RNA of Dallia pectoralis (Alaska blackfish), 73 nucleotides long. The record is from the annotation of a GenBank genome assembly. NCBI's taxonomy places the organism in Eukaryota, Metazoa, Chordata, Actinopteri, Esociformes, Umbridae.
GUUGGUGUAUCUCAGUGGUAGAGUACAUGCUUUGUAUACUAUGAUGUCCUGGAUUCAAUCCACAGCUUCUCCA